Molecule: ribosomal RNA, 266 nt
Filed under: uncultured bacterium
Lineage: Bacteria
Description: partial 16S ribosomal RNA
Rfam family: Bacterial small subunit ribosomal RNA
Source: RNAcentral
GCAAGUCGAACGAGAACGGGAUUGCUUGCAAUCCUUAGUAGAGUGGCGCACGGGUGAGUAACACGUAGAUAAUCUACCUUCAAGCCUGGAAUAACUGUUCGAAAGGGCAGCUAAUACCGGAUAAAGUCGAUUUACACAAGUAGAUUGAUGAAAGAUUGCCUCUUCUUGAAAGCAAUUGUUUGGGGAUGAGUCUGCGGACCAUUAGUUUGUUGGUGGGGUAAAGGCCUACCAAGACUGCGAUGGUUAGCUGGUCUGAGAGGAUGAUC